CGGGAAACCGGAAGCUAAUACCGGAUAAUAUAUUGAACCGCAUGGUUCAAUAGUGAAAGACGGUUUUGCUGUCACUUAUAGAUGGAUCCGCGCCGCAUUAGCUAGUUGGUAAGGUAACGGCUUACAAGGCAACGAUGCGUAGCCGACCUGAGAGGGUGAUCGGCCACACUGGAACUGAGACACGGUCCAGACUCCUACGGGAGGCAGCAGCC
This 212-nucleotide ribosomal RNA is filed under the name uncultured Staphylococcus sp. RNAcentral's name for it is "partial 16S ribosomal RNA". It matches the Rfam family "Bacterial small subunit ribosomal RNA", at positions 150 to 355 of the family's 1533-position model. Lineage: Bacteria; Bacillati; Bacillota; Bacilli; Caryophanales; Staphylococcaceae. The record is from RNAcentral.